AGAGUUUGAUCCUGGCUCAGGAUGAACGCUAGCGGCAGGCCUAAUACAUGCAAGUCGAACGAGAUUUUUCUCUGUAGCAAUACAGAGAAAAGUCUAGUGGCGAACGGGUGCGUAACACGUGAGCAACCUGCCGUGAAGUGGGGGAUAGCUCGCCGAAAGGCGAAUUAAUACCGCAUGUGGCCAAGAAGGACAUCCUUCUGACGCCAAAGCCGGGGCAACCUGGCGCUUCUCGAGGGGCUCGCGGCCUAUCAGCUUGUUGGUGAGGUAACGGCUCACCAAGGCUAUGACGGGUAGCUGGUCUGAGAGGACGACCAGCCACACUGGAACUGAGACACGGUCCAGACACCUACGGGUGGCAGCAGUCGAGAAUUUUUCACAAUGGGGGAAACCCUGAUGGAGCGACGCCGCGUGGAGGAUGGAGGUUUUCGGAUUGUAAACUCCUGUCAUUAGAGAACAAGGCACACGGUUUAACUGGCCGUGUGUUGAUAGUAUCUGAAGAGGAAGAGACGGCUAACUCUGUGCCAGCAGCCGCGGUAAUACAGAGGUCUCAAGCGUUGUUCGGAUUCAUUGGGCGUAAAGGGUGCGUAGGUGGCGAUGUAAGUCGGGUGUGAAAUCUCCAAGCUUAACUUGGAAACUGCACUCGAUACUGCGUCGCUCGAGGACUGUAGAGGGCAUUGGAAUUCACGGUGUAGCAGUGAAAUGCGUAGAUAUCGUGAGGAAGACCAGUGGCGAAGGCGAAUGCCUGGGCAGUUCCUGACACUGAGGCACGAAGGCCAGGGGAGCAAACGGGAUUAGAUACCCCGGUAGUCCUGGCAGUAAACGGUGCACGUUUGGUGUGGGAGGAUUCGACCCCUUCCGUGCCGGAGCUAACGCGUUAAACGUGCCGCCUGGGGAGUACGGUCGCAAGAUUAAAACUCAAAGAAAUUGACGGGGACCCGCACAAGCGGAGCAUGCGGCUUAAUUCGACGCAACGCGAAGAACCUUACCAAGGCUUGACAUAUAGCGAAAAGUGGCAGAGAUGUCAUGUCCGCAAGGGCGCUAUACAGGUGGUGCAUGGUUGUCGUCAGCUCGUGUCGUGAGAUGUUGGGUUAAGUCCCGCAACGAGCGCAACCCUCGUUCUGUGUUACCAGCAUUCAGUUGGGGACUCACAGGAGACUGCCGGGGUCAACUCGGAGGAAGGUGGGGAUGACGUCAAAUCAUCAUGCCCCUUAUGUCUUGGGCUGCACGCAUGCUACAAUGGCCGGUACAAAGUGCUGCGAGAUCGCAAGAUUGAGCGAAUCACAUAAAGCCGGUCUCAGUUCGGAUUGAGGUCUGCAACUCGACCUCAUGAAGUCGGAGUUGCUAGUAAUCGUAGAUCAGCAACGCUACGGUGAAUACGUUCCCGGGGCUUGUACACACCGCCCGUCACGUCACGAAAGUCGGUAACACCCAAAGUUAGUGGCCCAACCGCAAGGGGGGAGCUACCUAAGGUGGGAUCGGUGAUUGGGACGAAGUCGUAACAAGGUAACC
RNAcentral lists this ribosomal RNA (1509 nucleotides) under uncultured bacterium. Its description in RNAcentral is "partial 16S ribosomal RNA". It matches the Rfam family "Bacterial small subunit ribosomal RNA". The record is from RNAcentral.